GACGUAGGGGGCAAGCGUUGUCCGGAUUUAUUGGGCGUAAAGAGCGUGUAGGCGGCUAGGUAGGUCCGUUGUGAAAACUCGAGGCUCAACCUCGAGACGCCGAUGGAAACCAUCUAGCUAGAGUCCGGAAGAGGAGAGUGGAAUUCCUGGUGUAGCGGUGAAAUGCGCAGAUAUCAGGAAGAACACCCGUGGCUAAGGCGGCUCUCUAGUACGGUACUGACGCUGAGACGCGAAAGCGUGGGGAGCGAACAGG
Molecule: ribosomal RNA, 253 nt
Filed under: uncultured bacterium
Lineage: Bacteria
Description: partial 16S ribosomal RNA
Rfam family: Bacterial small subunit ribosomal RNA
Source: RNAcentral